UACAGAGGGUGCAAGCGUUGUUCGGAAUUAUUGGGCGUAAAGCGCGUGUAGGCGGCAUGGUAAGUCGGGUGUGAAAGCCCUCAGCUCAACUGAGGAAGUGCGCCCGAAACUGCUGUGCUUGAGUGUCGGAGAGGGUCGCGGAAUUCCCCAAGUAGAGGUGAAAUUCGUAGAUAUGGGGAGGAACACCGGUGGCGAAGGCGGCGACCUGGACGAUAACUGACGCUGAGACGCGAAAGCGUGGGGAGCAAACAGG
RNAcentral lists this non-coding RNA (253 nucleotides) under uncultured prokaryote. RNAcentral's name for it is "partial 16S ribosomal RNA". It matches the Rfam family "Bacterial small subunit ribosomal RNA", at positions 524 to 776 of the family's 1533-position model. The record is from RNAcentral. RNAcentral also lists the same sequence under 1 other name.